RNAcentral lists this ribosomal RNA (119 nucleotides) under Anopheles coluzzii. RNAcentral's name for it is "partial 5.8S ribosomal RNA". It matches the Rfam family "5.8S ribosomal RNA", at positions 36 to 150 of the family's 154-position model. Rfam says of the family: 5.8S ribosomal RNA (5.8S rRNA) is a component of the large subunit of the eukaryotic ribosome. It is transcribed by RNA polymerase I as part of the 45S precursor that also contains 18S and 28S rRNA. The record is from RNAcentral. Lineage: Eukaryota; Metazoa; Arthropoda; Insecta; Diptera; Culicidae.
AUGAAGACCGCAGCUAAAUGCGCGUCAUAAUGUGAACUGCAGGACACAUGAACAUUGAUAAGUUGAACGCAUAUGGCGCAUCGGACGUUUAAUCCCGACCGAUGCACACAUUCUUGAGU